Habropoda laboriosa is the source of this 58-nucleotide non-coding RNA. Lineage: Eukaryota; Metazoa; Arthropoda; Insecta; Hymenoptera; Apidae. The record is from Rfam.
UGGCGUAGCGGGCAAAGCCUCGGCUUGCCAAUCCGAAGGUCCCGGGUUCGAUUCCCGG